Long non-coding RNA from Astatotilapia calliptera (eastern happy), 1125 nucleotides. The record is from Ensembl. NCBI's taxonomy places the organism in Eukaryota, Metazoa, Chordata, Actinopteri, Cichliformes, Cichlidae.
GGAGGGUGAAGGUAACGGUGGUCCCCGUGGUAAUCGGAGCACUAGGUGCGGUGACUCCCAAGCUAGGCGAGUGGCUCCAGCAGAUCCCGGGAACAACAUCGGAGAUCUCUGUCCAGAAGAGCGCAGUCCUGGGAACAGCUAAGAUACUGCGCAGGACCCUCAAGCUCCCAGGCCUCUGGUAGAGGACCCGAGCUUGAAGGAUAAACCGCCCGCAGGGGCGUGCUGGGUGUUUUUUUUUUGUUUUUUUUGUUUUUUUUCUUUCUUCCCCCCCUUCUCACCGUCUCUUCUCCCCUUUGGUUUUCUUUCUCUCCCUCUCUUUCUUUCAUUCUUUCUCCCUGUCCUGUCCCGUUUGUAGCAACUGAAGAUAAAAUAAAUUCAUAAUUAUAAUAAAGGUCAAUCAAAUGGACCAAUAUGGCAAGGCCAUGAUGAUCCACUUGGUAAAAUAAAUCCGCUUGGCAUCUUUCUUGGCCUUAAGACAACAAUUCUGAUGGCUAAAGAUCCAAACGGGACACAAAAAAAAAAAAAAAAAAAAAAAAGCUGUAAGCUAAUAAUAAUAAUAAUGGAUUGAUAUAGCGCUUUUCAAGGCACCCAAAGCGCUUUACAAUGCCACUAUUCAUGCACUCUCACAUUAACACACUGGUGGAGGCAAGCUACGGUUGUAGCCACAGCUGCCCUGGGGCAGACUGACAGAAGCGAGGCUGCCAUAUCGCGCCAUCGGCCCCUCUGGCCAACACCAGUAGGCAAGUAGGGUAAAGUGUCUUGCCCAAGGACACAACGACCAGGACAGAGAGCCCGGGGAUCGAACCGGCGACCUUCCGGUUACAGAUACGCUUCCCAACCCCCUGAGCCACGGUCGCCCCUAAUGAUAGUUAUAUAAGAGCAGACGCAUGCUGGUGCAAUAAGCUGUACGUUUUACGUACAAUGGAUGCAUGAUCUGAUUAGUCGACUAAUCGCAAAAAUAAUCGGUGACUAGUCGACUAUCAAAAUAAUCGUUUGUGGCAGCCCUAUUCAACUUGAAAUAUUCAGUGUAUCACAGUGUGAUCUGUAAAAAAAUACUAGGUUUAGAAGACAAGAGGCUGUGUUUGUGUGUGUGUGUGUGUGGUAGGUAGAUAGAGAGAUCGAUGG